RNAcentral lists this ribosomal RNA (394 nucleotides) under uncultured bacterium. Its description in RNAcentral is "partial 16S ribosomal RNA". It matches the Rfam family "Bacterial small subunit ribosomal RNA", at positions 523 to 918 of the family's 1533-position model. The record is from RNAcentral.
AUACGUAGGUGACAAGCGUUAUCCGGAUUUAUUGGGUUUAAAGGGUGCGUAGGCGGACAGUCAAGCAGGGGGUGAAAUGCCGGCGCUCAACGCCGGAGCUGCCUUCUGAACUGGCUGUCUGGAGUGGCAGUGCCGUUGGAGGAAUGAGUGGUGUAGCGGUGAAAUGCUUAGAUAUCACUCAGAACACCGAUUGCGAAGGCAUCUGACGAACUGCCCACUGACGCUGAGGCACGAAAGCGUGGGGAUCAAACAGGAUUAGAUACCCUGGUAGUCCACGCAGGAAACGAUGAUGACUAACUGCCGGCCCGUUGCGGGUCGGUGGCCAAGCGAAAGCGAUAAGUCAUCCACCUGGGGAGUACGACCGCAAGGUUGAAACUCAAAUGAAUUGACGGGG